This 310-nucleotide long non-coding RNA is filed under the name Homo sapiens (human). RNAcentral describes it as "non-protein coding lnc-TESK1-2:2". The record is from RNAcentral. Lineage: Eukaryota; Metazoa; Chordata; Mammalia; Primates; Hominidae.
AUGGUGAAUGUUCCCCAAACCCACCAGACUUUCUGUAAGAAGUAUCACAAGCACCAACUCCACAAAGUGACAUAGUCCAAGAAGGGCAAGGAUUCUCUGUGUGUCUAGGGAAAGCAGCAUUAUGACAGGAAGCACAGUGGCUAUGGUGGGCAGAGUAAGCCGAUUUUCCAGAAAAAAGCUAAAACUACAGAGAAGAUUGUGCUAAGGCUUGAGUGUGUUGAGCUCAAUUUCAGAUCUGAGAAAAUGUGGCUAUUAAGAGAUGCAAGCACUUUGAACUGGGAGGAGAUAAGUGAAAAGGCCAAGUGAUCCA